Molecule: small nucleolar RNA, 83 nt
Organism: Rhododendron vialii
Lineage: Eukaryota; Viridiplantae; Streptophyta; Magnoliopsida; Ericales; Ericaceae
Product: small nucleolar RNA Z102/R77
Exons: 1
Source: RefSeq, a predicted model, not a curated record
GAAUGAUAUGACGAUCAGAUUUUUUUCCCUAUUGGUUUGAUCACCAGAAUGAUGGUAUCUUUAUUAGCUCUAUCUGAUCAUUC